This 404-nucleotide ribosomal RNA is filed under the name uncultured bacterium. RNAcentral's name for it is "partial 16S ribosomal RNA". It matches the Rfam family "Bacterial small subunit ribosomal RNA", at positions 28 to 526 of the family's 1533-position model. The record is from RNAcentral.
GACGAACGCUGGCGGCGUGCUUAACACAUGCAAGUCGAGCGGAGCGGCGAACGGGUGAGGAACGCGUGAGUAACUGCCCCCCUCUAUGGGAUAACAGUUGGAAACGGCUGCUAAUAACGGAUAGUGGGGGCUGACUCGUGUCCUAUCAGCUUGUUGGUGGGGUAUUGGCCGAACAAGGCGACGACGGGUAGCCGGCCUGAGAGGGCGACCGGCCACGUUGGGCUGGGGUACGAGCCAAACUCCUACUGGGGGCAGCAGUGGGGAAUAUUGCACAAUGGGGGAAACGCUGAUGCAGCAACGCGCGUGCGAGAUGACAGCAUUCGGGUUGUAAACCGCUUUCAGCUAUGACGCGGUAGUGGCAGAAGAAGCACCGGCUAACUACGUGCCAGCAGCCGCGGUAAUAC